GGGCUACACACGUGCUACAAUGGCGGUGACAGUGGGAAGCCAGGUAGUGAUACCGAGCCGAUCUCAAAAAGCCGUCUCAGUUCGGAUUGCACUCUGCAACUCGAGUGCAUGAAGGUGGAAUCGCUAGUAAUCGCGGAUCAGCAUGCCGCGGUUAA
RNAcentral lists this ribosomal RNA (155 nucleotides) under Komagataeibacter xylinus. RNAcentral's name for it is "partial 16S rRNA". It matches the Rfam family "Bacterial small subunit ribosomal RNA", at positions 1211 to 1366 of the family's 1533-position model. The record is from RNAcentral. Lineage: Bacteria; Pseudomonadati; Pseudomonadota; Alphaproteobacteria; Acetobacterales; Acetobacteraceae.